RNAcentral lists this ribosomal RNA (722 nucleotides) under uncultured organism. RNAcentral describes it as "bacterial SSU rRNA". It matches the Rfam family "Bacterial small subunit ribosomal RNA", at positions 60 to 819 of the family's 1533-position model. The record is from RNAcentral.
AGUCGUGGGAGAAGCACCUUCGGGUGUGGACACCGGCGAAAGGGCGAGUAACGCGAUCGAACGUACCCCGAGGUGGGGGAUAGCGUCGGGAAACCGGCGGUAAUACCCCAUGUGCUCUACUGAGGAAAGCUCCGGCGCCUUGGGAGCGGCGAUCGUCCUAUCAGGUUGUUGGUGAGGUAACGGCUCACCAAGCCGAAGACGGGUAGCGGGUGUGAGAGCAUGACCCGCCGCAUCGGGACUGAGACACUGCCCGGACUCCUACGGGAGGCUGCAGUAACGAAUCUUCCGCAAUGCACGCAAGUGUGACGGAGCAAUGCCGCGUGUGGGAUGAAGCGGUUCCGCCGUGUAAACCACUGUCAGGGUCUAGGAAGAACUGACCAGACCCAGAGGAAGGGCCGGCUAAUCUCGUGCCAGCAGCCGCGGUAAGACGAGAGGCCCAAGCGUUAGGCGGAUUCACUGGGCUUAAAGGGUGCGUAGGCGGAUUGGCAAGCAUCUCGUGAAAUCCCUCGGCUCAACCGAGGAAUUGCGGGGUGAACUGCCUGUCUUGAGGAAGGCAGAGGCUGUCGGAACGUUCGGUGGAGCGGUGAAAUGCGUAGAUAUCGAACGGAACGCCGAAGGGGUAGCCAGGCAGAUGGGCCUUACCUGACGCUGAGGCACGAAAGCGUGGGGAUCAAACAGGAUUAGAUACCCUGGUAGUCCACGCCGUAAACGAUGUGCACUAG